UCUGGACACGCUCCAGGCCCUCAGUGUCUUUCUCGCAGUGAGGGCCCAGCACUGAGCGCAGCACUCGAGGUGCGGCCUCAGCAGUGCCAGUGCGGAGGGACGGUCACCUCCUGCAGUACCCAGAUUUUGGAACUGCUGUGCCUCCCUUAACCACGUCUCCCCACCACUGUGAGGCUGUGGGCACGCUCCUCAGCAUGCUCUCUGCAACAUGGCUGCUGGCAUUUCAAUCACUGCUCCAUUUAUGGAGAACGUGGCUGCCUAAACUGGAAUUGAAACCUCGCUCUCCUUGUUUUGUUAUCGAAACAAUCCCGGCGACGCUAAUGGUUGUGUGAGGUACAGGGCCUAGAAUGGCACUGGGCACUGCGCACAGCCUCAAGGCCGAGCAGCACCAUAACCCUCCCAGCCAGGCGUCUCCCGACCCCCGCGGGGAGAGCGCGACGCCGCGCAGGCGCUGUGCCGAGGGGAGCGGCUCCGGGCCUCGGGAAGAGGCGGUGCUCAGCGGCGCGGCUCCUCCCCGUGCCCCAGCCCGGCCGGCCGCGGGCUGCUGCCGCCGGUUGCGCUCGCUGCGGGCCGGCUGCGCGAGAGCUGCCUGUUUGUCCAGGUUGCAGGCUCUAUGGCUCGUGAGGCAGCGCUUAGAAGAACAGUCGCUUGGAGCUGUGGGCUACGCGAGCCUGCAGCUCUGCUUUUGGUUCGGCUACAUCUGCUUUGGCUCUGGGCUUUGGAUCAGAGGAUGAAAGGAGUUGAGCAGCAGAGGUCUCUCCUUCCAGAUGUAGUGACUGCUGUAGCAAGCUGAGGUGUGUUGCUGUAUAGCACACAGAAAACCGGUGCUGCGGUCAUGUGCGUCCCAGGCUCCAUGGGUAAACAGCAUUAGCCCAUGGACCUAAAUACUUGGCAUACCACGCAGCUCUUGAAAAUAAGAGAUUUAUGGUAACUCUAAUCUUUAGUAAGAAAUGUUUCAAAAUACGUGCCUCACAGAAAUAGAACAUUCUUUAGUAAAGAGUUGCACAGCAGGAAUGUUAAG
This 1021-nucleotide long non-coding RNA is filed under the name Gallus gallus (chicken). RNAcentral describes it as "long non-coding RNA NONGGAT005759". The record is from RNAcentral. Lineage: Eukaryota; Metazoa; Chordata; Aves; Galliformes; Phasianidae.